This 1447-nucleotide ribosomal RNA is filed under the name uncultured organism. RNAcentral describes it as "16S ribosomal RNA". It matches the Rfam family "Bacterial small subunit ribosomal RNA". The record is from RNAcentral.
CAGGCUUAACACAUGCAAGUCGAGGGGCAGCAUGGUCUUAGCUUGCUAAGGCCGAUGGCGACCGGCGCACGGGUGAGUAACACGUAUCCAACCUGCCGUCUACUCUUGGACAGCCUUCUGAAAGGAAGAUUAAUACAAGAUGGCAUCAUGAGUCCGCAUGUUCACAUGAUUAAAGGUAUUCCGGUAGACGAUGGGGAUGCGUUCCAUUAGAUGGUAGGCGGGGUAACGGCCCACCUAGUCUUCGAUGGAUAGGGGUUCUGAGAGGAAGGUCCCCCACAUUGGAACUGAGACACGGUCCAAACUCCUACGGGAGGCAGCAGUGAGGAAUAUUGGUCAAUGGGCGAGAGCCUGAACCAGCCAAGUAGCGUGAAGGAUGACUGCCCUAUGGGUUGUAAACUUCUUUUAUAAAGGAAUAAAGUCGGGUAUGCAUACCCGUUUGCAUGUACUUUAUGAAUAAGGAUCGGCUAACUCCGUGCCAGCAGCCGCGGUAAUACGGAGGAUCCGAGCGUUAUCCGGAUUUAUUGGGUUUAAAGGGAGCGUAGAUGGAUGUUUAAGUCAGUUGUGAAAGUUUGCGGCUCAACCGUAAAAUUGCAGUUGAUACUGGAUAUCUUGAGUGCAGUUGAGGCAGGCGGAAUUCGUGGUGUAGCGGUGAAAUGCUUAGAUAUCACGAAGAACUCCGAUUGCGAAGGCAGCCUGCUAAGCUGCAACUGACAUUGAGGCUCGAAAGUGUGGGUAUCAAACAGGAUUAGAUACCCUGGUAGUCCACACGGUAAACGAUGAAUACUCGCUGUUUGCGAUAUACGGCAAGCGGCCAAGCGAAAGCGUUAAGUAUUCCACCUGGGGAGUACGCCGGCAACGGUGAAACUCAAAGGAAUUGACGGGGGCCCGCACAAGCGGAGGAACAUGUGGUUUAAUUCGAUGAUACGCGAGGAACCUUACCCGGGCUUAAAUUGCAGAUGAAUUACGGUGAAAGCCGUAAGCCGCAAGGCAUCUGUGAAGGUGCUGCAUGGUUGUCGUCAGCUCGUGCCGUGAGGUGUCGGCUUAAGUGCCAUAACGAGCGCAAUCCUUGUUGUCAGUUACUAACAGGUUCCGCUGAGGACUCUGACAAGACUGCCAUCGUAAGAUGUGAGGAAGGUGGGGAUGACGUCAAAUCAGCACGGCCCUUACGUCCGGGGCUACACACGUGUUACAAUGGGGGGUACAGAGGGCCGCUACCACGCGAGUGGAUGCCAAUCCCCAAAACCUCUCUCAGUUCGGACUGGAGUCUGCAACCCGACUCCACGAAGCUGGAUUCGCUAGUAAUCGCGCAUCAGCCACGGCGCGGUGAAUACGUUCCCGGGCCUUGUACACACCGCCCGUCAAGCCAUGGGAGCCGGGGGUACCUGAAGUGCGUAACCGCGAGGAGCGCCCUAGGGUAAAACUGGUGACUGGGGCUAAGUCAUAACAA